This 22-nucleotide non-coding RNA is filed under the name Arabidopsis thaliana (thale cress). The record is from RNAcentral. Lineage: Eukaryota; Viridiplantae; Streptophyta; Magnoliopsida; Brassicales; Brassicaceae.
UACUCUACAAUGAUAGGCUUCA